AUUGAACGCUGGCGGCAGGCCUAACACAUGCAAGUCGAGCGGAUGAAGGGAGCUUGCUCCUGGAUUCAGCGGCGGACGGGUGAGUAAUGCCUAGGAAUCUGCCUGGUAGUGGGGGAUAACGUCCGGAAACGGGCGCUAAUACCGCAUACGUCCUGAGGGAGAAAGUGGGGGAUCUUCGGGCCUCACGCUAUCAGAUGAGCCUAGGUCGGAUUAGCUAGUUGGUGGGGUAAAGGCCUACCAAGGCGACGAUCCGUAACUGGUCUGAGAGGAUGAUCAGUCACACUGGAACUGAGACACGGUCCAGACUCCUACGGGAGGCAGCAGUGGGGAAUACUGGACAAUGGGCGAAAGCCUGAUCCAGCCAUGCCGCGUGUGUGAAGAAGGUCUUCGGAUUGUAAAGCACUUUAAGUUGGGAGGAAGGGCAGUAAGUUAAUACCUUGCUGUUUUGACGUUACCAACAGAAUAAGCACCGGCUAACUUCGUG
RNAcentral lists this ribosomal RNA (484 nucleotides) under uncultured bacterium. RNAcentral describes it as "partial 16S ribosomal RNA". It matches the Rfam family "Bacterial small subunit ribosomal RNA", at positions 30 to 507 of the family's 1533-position model. The record is from RNAcentral.